UCGCUUUGGCAGUAGAUAUAGUAAGAUUGGAACGAUACUAGGAAGAUUAGCAUUGCCCCUGCAAAAAGAUAACACACAAAUUCAUGAAAAAAAAAAGAAAUGG
Molecule: small nuclear RNA, 103 nt
Organism: Equus asinus (donkey)
Lineage: Eukaryota; Metazoa; Chordata; Mammalia; Perissodactyla; Equidae
Source: Ensembl